AUUAGCUAGUUGGUGAGGUAAUGGCCCACCAAGGCUACGAUCCAUAGCUGGUCUGAGAGGAUGAUCAGCCACACUGGGACUGAGACACGGCCCAGACUCCUACGGGAGGCAGCAGUAGGGAAUCUUGGACAAUGGGCGAAAGCCUGAUCCAGCCAUGCCGCGUGAGUGAAGAAGGCCUUAGGGUUGUAAAGCUCUUUUGGCGGGGACGAUAAUGACGGUACCCGCAGAAUAAGCCCCGGCUAACUUCGUGCCAGCAGCCGCGGUAAUACGAAGGGGGCUAGCGUUGUUCGGAAUUACUGGGCGUAAAGCGCUCGCAGGCGGAUUGAUAAGUCGGGGGUGAAAUCCCGGGGCUUAACCUCGGAAUUGCCUUCGAUACUGUCUGUCUUGAGUCCGGGAGAGGUGAGUGGAAUUCCUAGUGUAGAGGUGAAAUUCGUAGAUAUUAGGAAGAACACCAGUGGCGAAGGCGGCUCACUGGCCCGGUACUGACGCUCAUGAGCGAAAGCGUGGGAAGCAAACAGGAUUAGAUACCCUGGUAGUCCACGCCGU
Molecule: ribosomal RNA, 546 nt
Filed under: uncultured bacterium
Lineage: Bacteria
Description: bacterial SSU rRNA
Rfam family: Bacterial small subunit ribosomal RNA
Source: RNAcentral